AGUAACGUCCCAGUUCGGAUUGUAGUCUGCAACCCGACUACAUGAAGCUGGAAUCGCUAGUAAUCGCGAAUCAGAAUGUCGCGGUGAAUACGUUCCCGGGUCUUGUACACACCGCCCGUCACACCAUGGGAGUCGGAAAUGCCCGAAGUCAGUGACCCAACCGUAAGGAGGGAGCUGCCGAAGGUGGAGCCGGUAACUGGGGUGAAGUCGUAACAAGGUAUC
RNAcentral lists this ribosomal RNA (222 nucleotides) under uncultured bacterium. RNAcentral's name for it is "partial 16S ribosomal RNA". It matches the Rfam family "Bacterial small subunit ribosomal RNA", at positions 1279 to 1500 of the family's 1533-position model. The record is from RNAcentral.